ACCCAGGUUUAGAACACGUAGAGUCAAUGCAAUUCAUUAAUUAUAAUUUGUUUAAAAUAAAUAAAUAAAUUACAUUAUAGACAUAAUAAUGAGACUAAAUAAAACUAAAUAAAUAGGUUAGAACAUAAAUCUAAUUAAUUUGAAGCAUCUAAUACGUAAAAGAUUAUUUAAUUUGGGAAAAUAAACAUAACAGGAAUUAUUAUUAAUGAUCCUUAACAAUAAUAAUUAAAAAAAUAAUUAAAACUAUUAUUAAAAGUCAGUGGCGAUUCCAGGAACGCCCACUGCGCAAAAAUCUAGCCAAUAAAGGUAAAUUAGAAGUUCACUGCGCAAAAAUCUAGCCAAUGAUAAGUGUAAGUCUAGCUAGCUAUGGUAGCCAAUCAGCAGCCAAGUGGGAGUGGCCACGGGUUCCCGCACGGCCAGAAGCUCAGUCGGACGUCGGGGUGAAGAUUGGAAGGAUCGCGGUGCGGCAAUCGCGCUAAAAUUGAGCAAAA
Long non-coding RNA from Astyanax mexicanus (Mexican tetra), 491 nucleotides. RefSeq lists it as uncharacterized. The record is from RefSeq and is a predicted model, not a curated record. The transcript has 2 exons. Lineage: Eukaryota; Metazoa; Chordata; Actinopteri; Characiformes; Acestrorhamphidae.